RNAcentral lists this unclassified non-coding RNA (387 nucleotides) under soil metagenome. Its description in RNAcentral is "partial contains 5.8S ribosomal RNA, internal transcribed spacer 2, and large subunit ribosomal RNA". The stretch from base 1 to 120 matches the Rfam family "5.8S ribosomal RNA", at positions 35 to 154 of the family's 154-position model. The record is from RNAcentral.
GAUGAAGAACGCAGCGAAAUGCGAUAAGUAAUGUGAAUUGCAGAAUUCAGUGAAUCAUCGAAUCUUUGAACGCACCUUGCACCCUUUGGCAUUCCGAAGGGUAUGCUCGUUUGAGUGUCAUUGUACUCUCACACUCUCCGAUCCUAUGGAUUCGGGGAGCGGUGGACUUGGGUGUUGCUGCCUUUCCUUGCGGCUCACCUCAAAUGCGUCAGUGCACCUCUUGGUUGGACAUAGUACGGCGUGAUAAGUGUCUUCGCCGGCACCUCGCAAGAGGGUGGCCGAUCGGGAGCUCUGCGCUUUCAAACCGUCUUCGGACAAUUUCUGACAACUUGACCUCAAAUCGAGUAGGACUACCCGCUGAACUUAAGCAUAUCAAUAAGCGGAGGA